UAAUUAAACCCCCGCUGCUCACUAAACCUGACUCUAAACUCUACUUCGACAUUUCGCGCGACUACAUACUCCCUUGUCUCUCCGCAUCCUGACCCUCGCUGAAAAUCUCCAUCGCUGGGUUCAAUUGUUAAUUCGCUGCUGGGUUUUCUCAGGUUGUUAUUUGGGUUUUCUUGCUGGGCUGAUUUCACCCAUUCCUCAUCGCUAAAUCCACUGUAUCGUCACCAACAACCCGCUAUAUCGUCAGCAAUUUAGGGGUUUCUCUCACCUUCACCAGCAACUGUGAUUCUCUCGUUUCCGCUGGGUUUUCUUGCUGGGUUGCUUUCAAUUUAGGGGUUUCUCUCUCGGCUGCUUUCAAUUCAGGGGUUUAUCUCUCGGCUGCUUUCAAUUUAGGGGUUUUCUCGUUGGGCUGCUACUAGUGGUGGGUUCAAGGUUUAAGAGCUUUGUUAUUCCAGAGAUAGAUAAUGGAUCGUCUUACCUGGAUGUGCAAAAUUUCACGGGUUGCGCAUGAAUAUGUUACUGGCGUUAAUGAGUUCAUUGCAUGUGCGGUGGAAUAUUUGAAGAGGAAAGGAGAAGAGAGGAUCACAUGUCCAUGUCGUGAUUGUUAUAAUUUGAAAAAAUAUCCUAAUGUUGAUACAGUUCGUGAACAUUUAUUUCGGCGUGGUUUUAUGGCUGAUUAUAUUAAGUGGAUUUGGCAUGGGGAGGGAAUACACUCUGAGAAUACCGAGACAUAUAGUGGAAAUCAUGAAAGUAAUGGAGAUAAAAUGCCUUCAAAAGAAGAAGAUGAUGCAGAAAACGACAGGGUCGAUGAGAUGAUCCAUGACGUUGAAGAUAUUCUAAUGCACCAGCCGGAAGUUCUUGAAAAUUUGGUGGACGAUUCCAAAAAACUUUUAUAUCCUGGGUGCAAUAAUUAAUUUACCAGGUUAUCGACAACCUUAAAGUUGUGUAAGCUCAAAGUAAAAAAUGGGUGGAGUGACAAGAGUUUCACAUAAAUGCUCAAACUUCUAGCAGAAAUGCUUCCAAGAUAAACGUUAUAUCAUAGCACCUUACAUCCAAGAUGACCACUGGAUGUUGCUCCUUUUUUGUCUUAAUGAAAGUGCUAUCUGCGUGUUUGAUUCAUUGAAAAAAGAAAGGAAGAAUACCUGCACGAAUGACAUUCAAAUUAUACGUGUCUCAAAGUGGACUGAGGAACAAUAGAAAAGAAUUUAUAUGGCAUCACACUGAGGUUCAGUGUCCUCAACAGGUAGGAGGUACAGAAUGUGGAUUUUUUGUCAUGAGGUACAUGUAUGACAUAGUCAUGCUUUCUCAGAAAAAUUCUAACACGAACUGGGAAGUGGGAAGUGGUUCUUGGUUCUAGGAGUUAUGGCAAAAAGGAAAUCAAUGAGAUUCGAGAGAUUUGGGCUCAGUUUUUUACUCUUGAAUGUCUCUAGUCGGAUGGCGAUUAAUGCAAAAACGGGAGUGCAGAAAAAGGAGCUUCAAGAAAGCGGAGUUAGUUGAGAGAUUUUUAUGCUCUAAGAUGUUUAAUGUAACUGACUUAAUUUCUAGAGAGAUUGUAAUUAAUAUUGUACUCUUUCUAAUGUAAACAAUCUUUUUAAUUUAUUAUAAUAUAAUUUUUGAGCUAUAUUAAA
This is a long non-coding RNA of Daucus carota subsp. sativus, 1625 nucleotides long. RefSeq lists it as uncharacterized. NCBI's taxonomy places the organism in Eukaryota, Viridiplantae, Streptophyta, Magnoliopsida, Apiales, Apiaceae. The record is from RefSeq and is a predicted model, not a curated record. The transcript is spliced from 7 exons.